UUCUGUGCCACACCUAAACCAAGUUUUUAAACCUCUCAUAGCGCUUACUAAUUGAGUUUUUAUUCCAGAAUUUUAUAACUAAAUGAUGUAUGUUUUUAAGAAGUGACACGGUUUUCACUGAACAAUAUAAGGCCAAGGUUGAGUUUUACGCGGAGAGCAUCAUGGUGAAGCACUUGACCUGAGACGGGAUGAUGUUACUGGUCGGAGUGUGUCUCUCAACCUUUUGUUCUUCCUUUCUUACCUACCAUACUGAUUGAGACGGUUUAACCCAAAGUAUGCGGUUGAUCAAGAAACCUUAGUUUGAGCUGUUGGAGAAGGCUCAAAUCAAUCAAUCAACCAAACCAUUUCACGCUGAAACCUGAAGACGUUGCUCUACUCAAAGCCCGAGAUUAACAGUGUACGAUGUUCCAACCUGUAGUAAGCCUGAGCCCGAAAUUUAAAAGAGUAUCGUUGGACAAAACUCCCGAGUUUCCUUUUUGGGGUCUUAACA
Molecule: long non-coding RNA, 490 nt
Organism: Eurytemora carolleeae
Lineage: Eukaryota; Metazoa; Arthropoda; Copepoda; Calanoida; Temoridae
Exons: 4
Source: RefSeq, a predicted model, not a curated record